Molecule: transfer RNA, 69 nt
Filed under: Scincella reevesii
Lineage: Eukaryota; Metazoa; Chordata; Lepidosauria; Squamata; Scincidae
Description: tRNA-His
Rfam family: tRNA
About the family: Transfer RNA (tRNA) molecules are approximately 80 nucleotides in length. Their secondary structure includes four short double-helical elements and three loops (D, anti-codon, and T loops).
Source: RNAcentral
GUCAGCAUAAUUUAACCAAGAUACUAGGUUGUGGACCUAGAAAUAGAAGUUCAACCCUUCUUGCAGACC